CCUACGGGAGGCAGCAGUGGGGAAUAUUGCACAAUGGGCGAAAGCCUGAUGCAGCGACGCCGCGUGAGGGAUGACGGCCUUCGGGUUGUAAACCUCUUUCAGCAGGGAAGAAGCGAGAGUGACGGUACCUGCAGAAGAAGCGCCGGCUAACUACGUGCCAGCAGCCGCGGUAAUACGUAGGGCGCAAGCGUUGUCCGGAAUUAUUGGGCGUAAAGAGCUCGUAGGCGGCUUGUCACGUCGGGUGUGAAAGCCCGGGGCUUAACCCCGGGUCUGCAUUCGAUACGGGCUAGCUAGAGUGUGGUAGGGGAGAUCGGAAUUCCUGGUGUAGCGGUGAAAUGCGCAGAUAUCAGGAGGAACACCGGUGGCGAAGGCGGAUCUCUGGGCCAUUACUGACGCUGAGGAGCGAAAGCGUGGGGAGCGAACAGGAUUAGAUACCCUGGUAGUCCACGCCGUAAACGGUGGGAACUAGGUGUUGGCGACAUUCCACGUCGUCGGUGCCGCAGCUAACGCAUUAAGUUCCCGCCUGGGGAGUACGGCCGCAAGGCUAAAACUCAAAGGAAUUGACGGCUGAGACGNGCGACGACGACACGAGGAGAGG
Molecule: ribosomal RNA, 598 nt
Filed under: uncultured bacterium
Lineage: Bacteria
Description: bacterial SSU rRNA
Rfam family: Bacterial small subunit ribosomal RNA
Source: RNAcentral